This 286-nucleotide ribosomal RNA is filed under the name uncultured archaeon. RNAcentral's name for it is "partial 16S ribosomal RNA". It matches the Rfam family "Archaeal small subunit ribosomal RNA", at positions 339 to 631 of the family's 1478-position model. The record is from RNAcentral.
GCGAGAAACCUCCGCAAUACACGAAAGUGUGACGGGGUUACCCAAAGUGUUCUAUUUAGAACUGUGGUAGGUGAGUAAUGUCCCCUACUAGAAGGGAGAGGGCAAGGCUGGUGCCAGCCGCCGCGGUAAAACCAGCUCUUCAAGUGGUCGGGAUAAUUAUUGGGCUUAAAGUGUCCGUAGCCGGUUUAGUAAGUUCCUGGUAAAAUCGGGUAGCUUAACUAUCUAUAUGCUAGGAAUACUACUAUACUAGAGGGCGGGAGAGGUCUGAGGUACUACAGGGGUAGGG